CUGGAAAAAGAAAUCCUGUGAAAUUUUAAAUUCAAUUACUAGACAGAUUUGGAUUCCAAAUACGGAACCAUUUCCAAACCUAGCUAGCGUUUGCAGCGACAUCAAUGCUGCCAACUUUUGUUUAGAAGUUGGAAACAGCAUGGGAAGGUUGCUUAGAAUAUUGUCAGCAUCGCUCGAGAAGACAAGAAGUGCGUAGAGCUCGAGAGGGUUAAGAAAACAGAGUUUGUUUGGUGCUAUACCGGCCAAUAAGCAUAUGCUUAUUCCAUUCCAUAUGAGGAUCAUGCAUUGGUAUCGUAAGAGCAUUAACCGAUGCCUCUGCCAUGGGGAAGGAACAAGGCACAUUCACAUACAGAAUGGCAUUAUCCCUUCUUCGUUUUGAAACAGAGCAAACCGAUGCGGAUUUUUCACUUGACGUCACAAAGUGCACACGGCUGCGAAUCAACAGGGGUUUUUGGUUGAAAGAAAAAGUGACGAUUGCGUCAAGCUAUUGAAUUGAAUUGAAGGCGAAGCCAGAUUAGCUGUACCGGAAAUUUUUCUUUCCGGGUGCGAGCUACUUUUGGUUUUGGUUGCUAAUGCGUGCAUGAAAAGGCAAGUAUAAAUAGGGGAAUAGAGGCAUGAACUAAGGGUGUGGUGUGGCAGGAGAGCGUACACCAACAUGGGUAGGACUCAGGCUUUCUUGCUGUGCAUCUUCCUUCUUGCUUCUUCCAUGGCGAUGGUGCCCACAUCCAUGGCUGUCCCCUCCGCUAUGCUUCUUCAUAAACUGUCUGCCCCUCGGCUUAAUGCAACAAACGCCGCAGAACUGGACAGUGGUCCCUUUGCUGCAGGGGACUGCAACUACAGGUGCAAAUGUUGCUGGUGCUGGCGAUACGGCAGAAAGACACCCAAGUGUUUGCUUUGCUGUGCCAACUGAUCAAGAGAGAGCUUGCUUAUAGUGAGGGAGAUAUGUAUUAGCUAGAGGGGUUUGAUUGCUAAAUUAAUACAUGUAAUAGCAAAUAUUAGUGAAUAAAGUAGGCGUUUUAUAACAUAAAUGAUAUCAAGUUGAUCUGAUGCUUUGGGUACAUCCCCGACUUCAGAUUCUUGUGGCCUCUUGCAGAAUACUGCAAGGCUUUCAGCUAGAAAAAUUCCGGACGACUAUACAGGAAACUAAUUAGUUGCAGAUUAACUUCCAGCCGUAAGCUCUUUUCAUCAUUGACAGACAAUUGAGGAGUUCACCAGUGGAGACCAUAACAAGAAUUUUGCUCUUGACAUUUGCUUGGGUUCAGUUCCAGAGAUUAGUCUUGCUCCUUCUUUCACCCUGCACAUUUUUGGGGUGCUGACCCUCAUCUUCUAUAUACAUUCUAGCAAAAUUAGUGAAGGUUAUGCCCCCCACAUUUUUAGCCUCAUGAUCUCCCAAAGGGGAAAAAACGCUUUUGAGGGUUUAAGUUGCGUACUUCUCCCAGUAAAUAAAAUCUCAUGCGUCACGAGUCACAAUGAUAGAAAAGCCCUAAUUAACAAAUUAAUAAGCACAAAAGGGAAUUGAAAAGAUGUGGAGCCCUCAUGAUUUAUUGCAUUGAGCAGGCGUGAAGGUGACGAGGUUCUUCCUAAGAUCGUAGAGGAUAUGAAAGUUCUGCUGCAAAGUCACUCCAAAUGGCUGUGUUAACUCUUCUCCUGCAUUUGUUCCUGUUACUCUGCAGCAGCACCUUGCCAUUCAGCUUUCCAGCGUUCUUGACUGCUUUCAAGCAUUUGCAUAGAUUAAUGUCCGAUUUCCAGUUAAUUACUCCAUAGAGAAGGUGCCCAUCGUGUUCUCUGACUAAGCCCGCCGUUCCACGACUGCCAUCCUGCUGCCAACUGACAACAUGCAAUUUUAAUUCUUUCGUCAAGAUCCCCAUUUGGUACCAGCUUCAGCCAGGUCUCUAUUGCUUGCCUUGAUCUGUCAUCCCAUUCCAUUUUCAGUAUCAUCUGCUGACAUAGAAGUCCAAGCCCCUAUUUCACCAUGUCCAGGCGCAUCUCUAUCCCCAUGCUUGGACGAGUUUCUCCUUUUCCACCAUUUGCACGCAUGGAAUUCUUCCGACAUUUCCAAAUUGCUUUGGCUCGGAACCUGUGUCCUGUCCGCUUGCGGCAUUCAUAUUUGAAUCCUCAUGCUGGCAAGCACCUGACACGCCCCACUUGCAUCUGAAGAAAGAUGAUCAAGAGUCUCUUCAGCUUGUUGACACAAUGCACAUAUGGAAGCUAAGAGAAGCCAAAUCUUUUCAUCCUUUCUUCAGUAAGCAAUUUGUUCUCACAACACAGGUAAAGUGUCCAGGAGGCCCUUAGGAUCCCAUUGUGUCCCAAAUUCGUCUUCUCCACCCUUUCGUCUCACCCUUCCAUCUAAUUCUCUACCAUAUUUCUCUCCUUGAAUUCUCUCCUUGAAAUGCUGCAGUUCUGCUGCUCCACCCAGAUCAAUUGAUCUGCCCCAUUUCUGACUAAGGGUAGAGGGAUGUGGGCAAGCACCAUGACCGAUCUUCACAUUCAAAGUUACAGUGUGGACUGACCACCAAUAAUGGUCGUCUCCACAUCGUUUAUAACAAUUCUGGUUCUGGAUCACUAGGUAUGAAGACCACCAAAAAUUAGCAGUAGUGUUUUGUGAAUGUGUCCCAGAAAAAUUGGAUUGUAUCGCCCACAUCAGCGACAACGCAUGGGCGGCCACCACUGGUGGUUUCCACCAACAUUAUAUCUUUCGCUUUCAUUUCUUUUGAAGGAUCAGUUUAAUCUGCAUUUUGAAUUUUGAAAUAUAGAAACGUGACGUAUGUAGUUUCUGGAAUUUAAGGCUGCAUGCUUAGAUAAGCGUCUCUGCAUCUUUAGAUAAGGUUAUGUGAUUUUAAGAGUUUAAAUGUUAUUGACUGCCAUCUAAUGAGAUUCCUGACUGUUUGAUUGAUCGCAUUAAGGGGGUUUAAAUAAAAGGUAUCUCAGGAGAGGAACGCUAAAUGCAAUUGAUUGCACCAAUAGUGAUUCAUUUUAAUCAUCUACUUAGUGUGCAUUUUGAAAUUUUGAAUAUAGGAAUGUUCUUCAAAGUUUAAAGGGUACAAGCUUAGCUAAGCGCUUUUGCUUGUUUAGAUAAGUUCCUGCGACUUUAAAAAUUUUAAAAUGUCUGUGGGGGAGUGAGAGCGUCAGCGGCAAAGGGAGAGAAGGGCAUUGUAAGAGAGGCACUGGUGUGGAGGCCACCAUGAGAGAUAGAGAGCGAGUGAGUUGGGGAGAGAGAAAUCACAAUGAUGGAGAGAUUCAUGGUUCAGUUUAUAUAUAUAUAUAUAUAUAUAUAUAUAUAUAUAAUUAUAUAUAUAUAAACUGAAAUUACAAAUAUAAA
Nymphaea colorata (pocket water lily) is the source of this 3319-nucleotide long non-coding RNA. RefSeq lists it as uncharacterized. Lineage: Eukaryota; Viridiplantae; Streptophyta; Magnoliopsida; Nymphaeales; Nymphaeaceae. The transcript is spliced from 2 exons. The record is from RefSeq and is a predicted model, not a curated record.